This 1276-nucleotide ribosomal RNA is filed under the name Candidatus Vogelbacteria bacterium CG10_big_fil_rev_8_21_14_0_10_50_13. Its description in RNAcentral is "bacterial SSU rRNA". It matches the Rfam family "Bacterial small subunit ribosomal RNA", at positions 1 to 1349 of the family's 1533-position model. Lineage: Bacteria; Candidatus Vogeliibacteriota. The record is from RNAcentral.
UUAAUAUGAGAGUUUGAUCUUAGCUCAGGAUGAACGCUGGCGGCGUGGAUAAGGCAUGCAAGUCGAAAGGGUUUAGACCCUUGGCGAACGAGGUAGUAACAUGUAGGUACGCACCCGGAAGUCGAGGAUAACCCGCCGAAAGGCGGAGUAAUACUCGAUGGUCCCCGUGAUCCGCAAGGAUUUUACGGGGUAAAGAUUUAUCGCUUCCGGAGCGGCCUGCAGCCUAUCAGCUAGUUGGUAAGGUAAUGGCUUACCAAGGCAAUGACGGGUAGGGGAGGUGAGAGCCUGGCCCCCACCGAUGGGACUGAGACACGGCCCAUACACCUACGGGUGGCUGCAGUCGAGAAUCUUCCACAAUGGACGAAAGUCUGAUGGAGCGACGCCGCNNNNNNNNAGAAGUUUAUUGACGGUACCUCAGGAAUAAGGGGUUGCUAAACUCGUGCCAGCAGCAGCGGUAAUACGAGUGCCCCAAGCGUUAUCCGGAAUCAUUGGGCGUAAAGGGUGCGUAGGCGGUUGUGUUAGUCUUCUGUGAAAUCUCCCGGCUUAACCGGGAAUGGGCGGAGGAAACGGCACAACUUAGAGCAGGUGAGAGGUCAGUAGAACUCAUGGUGUAGGGGUGAAAUCCGUUGAUAUCAUGGGGAAUACCAAAAGCGAAGGCAGCUGACUGGCGCCUGGCUGACGCUGAGGCACGAAAGCGUGGGUAGCGAACGGGAUUAGAUACCCCGGUAGUCCACGCCCUAAACGAUGUUCUCUAGCUUUUCGGAGUAUCGACCCUCUGAGAGGCGUAGCUAACGCGUUAAGAGAACCGCCUGGGAAGUACGGCCGCAAGGCUAAAACUCAAAAGAAUAGACGGGGACUUGCACAAGCGGUGGAUCAUGUGGUUUAAUUCGACACUAAACGAAAAACCUCACCAGGGCUUGAAACUCCAACGAAGACUCGAGGAAACUUGAGUUGUCUUCACAAGAGACGGUGGAGCAGGUGAUGCAUGGCUGUCGUCAGUUCGUGGCUUGAGUUGUUCCCUUAAGUGGGGAAACGAACGCAACCUCUGUCGCGUGUUACAAGUGUCACGCGAGACUGUCCCGCUUGUCGGGAAGGAAGCGGAGAUGACGCCAAGUCAGCAUGUCCCUUUGACGCCCUGGGCUACACACAUGAUACAAUGGCCGUUACAACGGGUUGCGACGAGGAAACUCUGAGCUAAUCCUUCAAAAACGGCCCCAGUUCGGAUUGAGGUCUGCAACUCGACCUCAUGAAGUUGGAAUCGCUAGUAAUCGCGGGU